Oncorhynchus keta (chum salmon) is the source of this 2994-nucleotide RNA transcript. It is a transcript of the gene named palmitoyltransferase ZDHHC16A-like, with no coding region annotated. The transcript has 11 exons. Lineage: Eukaryota; Metazoa; Chordata; Actinopteri; Salmoniformes; Salmonidae. The record is from RefSeq and is a predicted model, not a curated record.
AUUUUCUGUUAUCUGCCCAGGAGGAGACAUCAUCUGCGAACAAUUGAGGGAUGGCAACUGAUUUCAGUUUUGGCACCACACAACCAAUAAACAAACGAAGACGAAGCGGUCUUCUGGUCAGGCUCUGGAGACGGGCACAUCGCGCAUCACUCCCUAGCAUACUACUCGCCAAUGUCCAGUCUCUUGACAACAAGGUUGAUGAAAUCCGAGCAAGGGUAGCAUUCCAGAGAGACGUUACGAGACUGUAACGUUCUUUGCUUCACGGAAACAUGGCUCACUCGAGACAAGCUAUCGGAGUCGGUACAGCCAGCUGGUUUCUUCACGCAUCGCGCCGACAGAAACAAGCAUCUUUCUGGAGAAGAAUGCGGCUGAGCCCCACCUUCCUGCUGCAGCGCUGGCUGUGGUUGUGUGUGAGCGCCAGACAGUGGCACUGCAGAAAUGGCAACAACUGCAGACUACCGCUGUGUGCGAGGCAGAUAUGGGCCUACCUCAGACUGAUGGUCGACUCCCUCUAUUACAACACCCUCACAAACUCUGACGUCGUCAUGGACUCACUGAUGGAACCCAUCUUAUGGAUGGUGGACCUACUCACCCGCAGGUUUGGGGCGGUGUUUGUAUGUCUGUUAGUGAUACUGACCACUUCUAUCCUGCUGGUAGUCUAUGUGGUUAUGCUGCCCGUGAUCUUCGACAAGUACUCUCCAUCCUGGAUAGCCUGGCACAUGAGUUACGGACACUGGAACCUUGUCAUGAUCGUCUUCCACUAUUAUAAAGCUACCAAUACUGCCCCAGGAUGCCCCCCUACGAUGAAAAAUUCCAUUCCAUUUGUGUCCAUGUGUAAGAAGUGUAUCAUCCCCAAACCAGCCAGAACUCACCACUGUGCCAUCUGCAACACGUGCAUUUUGAAAAUGGACCAUCAUUGUCCGUGGCUGAAUAACUGUGUCGGCCAUUUUAACCAGCGCUACUUCUUCUGCUUCUGUGUCUCCAUGACUCUGGGCUGUGUCUACUGCAGCAUCAGUGGCCGGAACCUUUUCCUGGAUGCUUAUAAGCACCUACCAGACUCCUCCCUUAACGUUCAGAGACGAGAUGUUCCACAAGAGUGUCAUUUACAUGUGGGUGUUAACCAGCGUGGUGGCUGUAUCUCUUGGGGCGCUGACUAUCUGGCACGCAGUGCUGAUAUCCCGAGGAGAGACCAGCAUAGAGAGGCACCUCAACAACAAGGAGACCAAACGGAUGCGGAAAUGUGGCAAGGUGUACAAGAACUCAUUUAACUAUGGCAGACUGAACAACUGGAAAGUCUUCUUAGGUGUGGAGAAGAAAAGUCAUUGGCUGACGCGAGUCAUCCUGCCCUCUGGACAUGUCCCCAUUGGGAACGGCCUGACCUGGGACAUCUGUCCAAUCAGAAAAGACAUGAUGUCUGUCUGAUCACUGAUAAUAAACUCUGUCCACACAGAACUACAUCUCCCAGCGGCUCCUGCUCCCUACAUAUACUGAUGUCACAUGACCAGGUUUUGGAGACGAGCAGGAGAGUGAAUACUGGGAGGACAACGGGGAAGAGAUGGGGAAAGUUUGCUGCUCCGAAGUGAAACAACCCUACAACAUGUUUCAACCCUGGUCCUGGCACAGGGCUUGUGUAAUAAAGGCCAACCACACUCCAGAACUUGUAAUGAUGUGGGGAUGAACUGUUUCAUAAUGUUUUCAGACUGUACUACAGUAUGAGUCGUCAUAUUACCCAUAAGACCUAGAGGUCAAACAGGGAAAUUAUUCCAGUUAUUUUUUUUCCACAAUUCACUUUUCCCAUAGGUUUAAAAACAACAACAACAAAAAACAACACUUAAAUUAAGGGCUGGGUUUAGUUUUGAUAACCGUGUAAAUCUUUCUAGGAGAAGGUGACUUAUCAAUAUAUUUGCCUGUAUUUACCCCCCCCCCCAUAAAAAAAAAAAAAACGAAGCUCUCUACUGUGACUAUCAUAAAGAACUACAAAUGCCAUGAUUAUCAGGAUGAGACUUCCGAAUCAAGAGAAAGGUAAGAAUCUCGGGAUCAACUAUCUAAUGUCAGCUACAUGUAACGAAUACAUUGGCACCAUUUCUUUAGAUGGACAAUUCUGUCAACUGUGCAAGUUUUCAAUUGACAGAAUACCUGUUAGCAAAGGUGUUAGCUAGAGAUGACAUGCAGGGAUUUGUAGUCUUUCAUGAUGUCUACUUUGAUGCUAAUGACUUUUUUGAUUUAAGUCACCUUGUCAGAGAUUAACAUGGUUAUCAAAACGUCACACCAGGCUAACUCCACAAAACACAGCUGUUAUUUUAGGUGUUUCUAAAAUCUCCUAUGGGGAAAAAUGUAUGGUGGAAAAAUGAUUGGAACCAUUUCCCGGUUUGACCGCUAGGUUUUAGGGGUAUUAUGACACGUCCACAAUAGGACUCUGGUGUACAUUAGGCAUGUCAAACUCAUUCCAUGGAGGGACAAGCGUCUGCAGGCUUUUGGGUUUUUCCUUUCAAAUCAGCCCUAGACAACCACGUGUGGGGAGUUCCUUACUAAUCAAUGAACUUAACUCAUCAAGUACAAGGGAGGUACUUGAUGAGCGAUAUGUUUGCGAUAUUACAUUUCCUUAAAACAACAAUAAAUGUGGAUCUCGGCUUUAAUCUAAUUUUUAACAUUGUCAUAAGGAGCACAUUCAAAACCAUAAAACAUGUUUUCCCAUCUUGACAUUAACAUUGAGAAACAUCACUGAAAAGGGGUUGACGGUACCCCUUGCUACCGGGAGAAUGGAAUCAAGGGAGAGGCAAUUGAAAGCAAGCUUCACAAAACAUUCCAACUUGUUUACCAAUGAGUAACGGGGUUAAAGUGUUCUGCUCGAUGCACUCGGUCUUCUACCCCAAAACACCGUAUGUCUGUACAGUAGGACAGUUGCAUGCAAUGUUACAUUUGUUGACCCUGGAGUUAUGUUAUGUUCUGUAUUGUUCAGUUGUAUGAUAUUUUUUUAAAAGCGGUCGACUCUGA